GGCGUUGUGUCCGAGUGGUUAAGGAGAGAGAUUAGAAAUCUCUUACGUUCGCGUGCGCAGGUUCGAGUCCUGUCGACGUCG
Non-coding RNA from Pyronema omphalodes CBS 100304, 81 nucleotides. The record is from Rfam. NCBI's taxonomy places the organism in Eukaryota, Fungi, Ascomycota, Pezizomycetes, Pezizales, Pyronemataceae.